UACGUAGGGUGCAAGCGUUGUCCGGAAUUAUUGGGCGUAAAGAGCUCGUAGGCGGUUUGUUGCGUCGGCUGUGAAAAUCCCGAGGCUCAACCUCGGGGUCUGCAGUCGAUACGAGCAAACUAGAGUGUUGCAGGGGAGACUGGAAUUCCUGGUGUAGCGGUGAAAUGCGCAGAUAUCAGGAGGAACACCGGUGGCGAAGGCGGGUCUCUGGGCAACAACUGACGCUGAGGAGCGAAAGCGUGGGGAGCGAACAGG
This 255-nucleotide ribosomal RNA is filed under the name uncultured bacterium. RNAcentral's name for it is "partial 16S ribosomal RNA". It matches the Rfam family "Bacterial small subunit ribosomal RNA", at positions 524 to 776 of the family's 1533-position model. The record is from RNAcentral.